RNAcentral lists this transfer RNA (75 nucleotides) under Candidatus Woesebacteria bacterium. Its description in RNAcentral is "tRNA-Thr". It matches the Rfam family "tRNA". Rfam says of the family: Transfer RNA (tRNA) molecules are approximately 80 nucleotides in length. Lineage: Bacteria; Candidatus Woeseibacteriota. The record is from RNAcentral.
GCCUGAGUAGUUCAUCGGUAGAACGCUUUCUUGGUAAGAAAGAAGUAGUGAGUCCAAUUCUCACCUCAGGCUCCA